AUGAACGCUGGCGGCGUGCUUAACACAUGCAAGUCGAACGGGAAACCUUUUAAUGAAGCUUCGGCAGAUUUAGCUGGUUUCUAGUGGCGGACGGGUGAGUAACGCGUGGGUAACCUGCCUUAUACAGGGGGAUAACAGUCAGAAAUGACUGCUAAUACCGCAUAAGCGCACAGGACCGCAUGGUCCGGUGUGAAAAACUCCGGUGGUAUAAGAUGGACCCGCGUUGGAUUAGCUUGUUGGUGGGGUAACGGCUCACCAAGGCGACGAUCCAUAGCCGGCCUGAGAGGGUGAACGGCCACAUUAGGACUGAGACACGGCCCAGACUCCUACGGGAGGCAGCAGUGGGGAAUAUUGCACAAUGGGGGAAACCCUGAUGCAGCGACGCCGCGUGAAGGAAGAAGUAUCUCGGUAUGUAAACUUCUAUCAGCAGGGAAGAUAGUGACGGUACCUGACUAAGAAGCCCCGGCUAACUACGUG
RNAcentral lists this ribosomal RNA (477 nucleotides) under uncultured bacterium. RNAcentral describes it as "partial 16S ribosomal RNA". It matches the Rfam family "Bacterial small subunit ribosomal RNA", at positions 29 to 507 of the family's 1533-position model. The record is from RNAcentral.